This 448-nucleotide ribosomal RNA is filed under the name uncultured bacterium. Its description in RNAcentral is "bacterial SSU rRNA". It matches the Rfam family "Bacterial small subunit ribosomal RNA", at positions 330 to 793 of the family's 1533-position model. The record is from RNAcentral.
UCCAGACUCCUACGGGAGGCAGCAGUGGGGGAUAUUGCACAAUGGGUGAAACCCUGAUGCAGCGACGCCGCGUGGGCGAAGAAGUAUUUCGGUAUGUAAAGCCCUAUCAGCAGGGAAGAAGAAAUGACGGUACCUGAGUAAGAAGCACCGGCUAAAUACGUGCCAGCCGCCGCGGUAAUACGUAUGGUGCAAGCGUUAUCCGGAUUUACUGGGUGUAAAGGGAGCGCAGGCGGCACGGCAAGCCUGAUGUGAAAGCCCGCGGCCCAACCGCGGGACUGCAUUGGGAACUACCGGGCUGGAGUGCCGGAGAGGUAGGCGGAAUUCCUGGUGUAGCGGUGAAAUGCGUAGAUAUCAGGAGGAACACCGGUGGCGAAGGCGGCCUGCUGGACUGCAACUGACGUUGAGGCCCGAAGGCGUGGGGAGCAAACAGGAUUAGAUACCCCGGUAU